Acanthaster planci (crown-of-thorns starfish) is the source of this 1177-nucleotide long non-coding RNA. The record is from RefSeq and is a predicted model, not a curated record. NCBI's taxonomy places the organism in Eukaryota, Metazoa, Echinodermata, Asteroidea, Valvatida, Acanthasteridae.
UACACGCUAAUUGACUUCCCUCUCAGCCAAGUACAGAUUUCAUUACUGUUUGGAUCCAGUUCUUCACUUGCAGGAACACAAAGAAGAUCACAGGUUUACUUCCCUGAUGCUGAAGUCAAGACAGGAUUUCUUCCUCACCCUUUCAACCCGUGGCCGGAUGUGUGAGUUGCUGUCGGCUUAAUCAACGAAUUUGAAAGCUGGACGUGGGGUGAAGUGCUCUUCAAGUGACUUCCCCAGGGUUGCACAUAUACUGCAACUUUGUUCUCCCCCUCCUGAGACCUCAGAUAAAUCAAUUCAUCGGGUGAUCAGAGUUUGAAGGUGUGUGCCGGGGUGGAUGUCUUUUCAUCCGAGUGAAUAAUACACCGGGGAUCUUGCCAGCAAGGUUGAACCUCUAUGCUCAGCGACGGACGCAACGGCGUGCAGCAAUGGUCUUCCCUGCUACAUUAAUUAUUUUGUAAAUCAACACAAACCCCUAAAACUGAAACAAUACAGAACAUGACCUUGAAAUAAAUUUUCAUUAUCAGAUUUUCCCAAUCUAAUUCCCUUUAUUUCAGGUUUUCCUGGCCGAUAUCAGCAAAACAUUUUUAUUUUUUUAUUUGAUUUUGUGGAAAUUCAGAUCUCUUGUUGUUCACGUAAUAUCAGAUUUUGUUAUGUAACAUCGUUUGGGUUCUUCUCCAAAUUUCUGUUUAUUGGCGUAGACAUAUACAAGACUAACUUCCUUUAAUCUUUAAUUCUAACGGCAUCUGCUGUCGGCUGCCUCUUUCCAGUUUAUGUCAUCAAGGCCCGUGCAUGGGAUGUUUCCUUUUUUUACGGCAACCUUAAGUUUUCAGUUCGCACUUGACACGGCUUAAAGAGUAUAUCUUGCAAUCUAAGCCGCUGUGUACAAUAAUGUUCUUAUGGCGAUGGUCUUGCUGAGAAUUAUUGUCUCAUUUUGAAUCAAUCUGCAGUGUCAUCUUUUGCUACUUAGGCCCUAUUACUGUUUAAAUUCGAGUGUCUCAAAUCGAGUAGAUAAUUCUAAAGACUCUUGUACUUAUUCAGAUGAACGAUAGUUUGAAUUCGAAUGAGCUCAAAAAGUGAAUCAAAUUUUUUUGAUGUUUGGUUGCCAGGGAGUAUUCACAGUUAAAUGAAUUCCAAUGGCUAGCCGUUUGCGCUAAAGAUGACGAUAAUAUGAUAAAUA